RNAcentral lists this transfer RNA (69 nucleotides) under Ictidomys tridecemlineatus (thirteen-lined ground squirrel). RNAcentral's name for it is "Spermophilus tridecemlineatus (thirteen-lined ground squirrel) tRNA". It matches the Rfam family "tRNA". From Rfam's summary of the family: Transfer RNA (tRNA) molecules are approximately 80 nucleotides in length. Their secondary structure includes four short double-helical elements and three loops (D, anti-codon, and T loops). Lineage: Eukaryota; Metazoa; Chordata; Mammalia; Rodentia; Sciuridae. The record is from Rfam by way of RNAcentral.
GGGGUUGUGGCUCAGUGGUAGAGCCCUUGCCUAGCAUGUGUGAGGCCCUGGGUUCAAUUCCCAGUACCA